GAGGGUGUAGCUCAGUGGGAGAGCACUACGUUGACAUCGUAGGGGUCCCGAGUUCAAAUCUCGGCAUCCUCA
Molecule: transfer RNA, 72 nt
Filed under: Spirochaetaceae bacterium
Lineage: Bacteria; Pseudomonadati; Spirochaetota; Spirochaetia; Spirochaetales; Spirochaetaceae
Description: tRNA-Val
Rfam family: tRNA
About the family: Transfer RNA (tRNA) molecules are approximately 80 nucleotides in length. Their secondary structure includes four short double-helical elements and three loops (D, anti-codon, and T loops). Further hydrogen bonds mediate the characteristic L-shaped molecular structure. tRNAs have two regions of fundamental functional importance: the anti-codon, which is responsible for specific mRNA codon recognition, and the 3' end, to which the tRNAs corresponding amino acid is attached (by aminoacyl-tRNA synthetases). tRNAs cope with the degeneracy of the genetic code in two manners: having more than one tRNA (with a specific anti-codon) for a particular amino acid; and 'wobble' base-pairing, i.e. permitting non-standard base-pairing at the 3rd anti-codon position.
Source: RNAcentral